GUAGGUGGCAAGCGUUGUCCGGAAUUAUUGGGCGUAAAGCGCGCGCAGGCGGUUCUUUAAGUCUGAUGUGAAAGCCCACGGCUCAACCGUGGAGGGUCACUGGAAACUAGAGAAAUUGAGUACAGAAGAGGAAAGCGGAAUUCCACGUGUAGCGGUGAAAUGCGUAGAGAUGUGGAGGAACACCAGUGGCGAAGGCGGCUUUCUGGUCUGUAACUGACGCUGAGGCGCGAAAGCGUGGGGAGCAAACAGGAUUAGAUACCCCUGGUAGUCCACGCCGUAAACGAAUGAGUGCUAAGUAGUUAGGGGGGUUUUCCGGGUCCCCCCCUUACGUUGCUGCAGCUAACGCAUUAAGCACUCCGCCCUGGGAGUACGGCCGCAAGGCUG
This 384-nucleotide ribosomal RNA is filed under the name uncultured organism. RNAcentral's name for it is "partial 16S ribosomal RNA". It matches the Rfam family "Bacterial small subunit ribosomal RNA", at positions 527 to 896 of the family's 1533-position model. The record is from RNAcentral.